AGUGAACGCUGGCGGUAGGCCUAACACAUGCAAGUCGAACGGCAGCACAGUAAGAGCUUGCUCUUACGGGUGGCGAGUGGCGGACGGGUGAGGAAUACAUCGGAAUCUACUUUUUCGUGGGGGAUAACGUAGGAAAACUACGCCAAUACCCCAUACGAACCACCGGUGGAAGCAGGGGGUCCUCGGACCUUGCCCGACUUGAUGAGCCGAUGUCCGAUUAGCUAGUUGGCGGGGUAAAGGCCCACCAAGGCGACGAUCCGUAGCUGGUCUGAGAGGAUGAUCAGCCACACUGGAACUGAGACACGGUCCAGACUCCUACGGGAGGCAGCAGUGGGGAAUAUUGGACAAUGGGCGCAAGCCUGAUCCAGCCAUACCGCGUGGGUGAAGAAGGCCUUCGGGUUGUAAAGCCCUUUUGUUGGGAAAGAAAAGCAGCAGGUUAAUACCCCGCUGUUCUGACGGUACCCAAAGAAUAAGCACCGGCUAACUUCGUG
This 491-nucleotide ribosomal RNA is filed under the name uncultured bacterium. RNAcentral's name for it is "partial 16S ribosomal RNA". It matches the Rfam family "Bacterial small subunit ribosomal RNA", at positions 29 to 507 of the family's 1533-position model. The record is from RNAcentral.